Molecule: ribosomal RNA, 526 nt
Filed under: Mammaliicoccus sciuri
Lineage: Bacteria; Bacillati; Bacillota; Bacilli; Caryophanales; Staphylococcaceae
Description: bacterial SSU rRNA
Rfam family: Bacterial small subunit ribosomal RNA
Source: RNAcentral
AGCCGACCUGAGAGGGUGAUCGGCCACACUGGAACUGAGACACGGUCCAGACUCCUACGGGAGGCAGCAGUAGGGAAUCUUCCGCAAUGGGCGAAAGCCUGACGGAGCAACGCCGCGUGAGUGAUGAAGGUCUUCGGAUCGUAAAACUCUGUUGUUAGGGAAGAACAAAUUUGUUAGUAACUGAACAAGUCUUGACGGUACCUAACCAGAAAGCCACGGCUAACUACGUGCCAGCAGCCGCGGUAAUACGUAGGUGGCAAGCGUUAUCCGGAAUUAUUGGGCGUAAAGCGCGCGUAGGCGGUUUCUUAAGUCUGAUGUGAAAGCCCACGGCUCAACCGUGGAGGGUCAUUGGAAACUGGGAAACUUGAGUGCAGAAGAGGAGAGUGGAAUUCCAUGUGUAGCGGUGAAAUGCGCAGAGAUAUGGAGGAACACCAGUGGCGAAGGCGGCUCUCUGGUCUGUAACUGACGCUGAUGUGCGAAAGCGUGGGGAUCAAACAGGAUUAGAUACCCUGGUAGUCCACGCCGU